AACUAUUUAAAUUCAAAAUAUGAUUGUUUAUUGGAAUUUUUGUUUAACUUGUAACACAGAUUUUCUCAUGUAAACAACAUACCUGCAAUAAACCAUCAAUAUCCUCCAAAUUAACUGUUGGCUUGAAAGCCAUAUUUAUUACAGAAAUAAAAACACAGGCAUGUAAGUACCAUUUGAAUUUCAAAACAAUCAAUGCCAAUAAUAGACAAAAAUGAUUUCCAUGUUGAAUUCUAAGUGGACUGCAAAAAAAUUCCAAAGUAUAGUCAUUGCCCAACCCGUUCUCAUCAGUCUGCGUAUAAAUAACACGACUUUACACUUUCUAUUUGCGUGUAAUGCAUACGCCAAAUGCCAUUUUUGCGUGCAUAUGAUACGCCAAUCCUUCCCAUUAAUUUCGGUGGAGAGCAGAUGCGUCCAAAUAACACGCAUCAUCUUCAGCGGCAGUGACGUCACUAGCGAGGCUCGUUCAGUUCACCUGAUGCGCGUACACCUUCAAACAGGUAAGCAAGGUUACGUCGGAUUACAUACUCCACAACAACCUGUAAUCCAGCAGAUCUUUAAAGAAGCCAUCUCUUGUAAAAUCUCUCUCUCUCUCUCUCUCUCUCUCGCUCUGCUAGAAUUAACAGGGAACUUCAACUCCACGCUCCCAAUGCUGAUAUUGAAGAAGCUGUCAAGGGGGCUGAACAAGUCCUUCAAAGGAUCAACCCUUCACAGGAAGGCCUGUCAUGAGAUUUGAAUUUGACCAUCUUGUGCAUUUAUGAAGAAGACCAAAAGCUGCGAAGGCAAACACUUCCAAUGGAUUUCUCACAGAUUACUUAAUCAUUCUUCAUCAACUCUUCACAAUAUCAGCCCAUUCAAAAGCUUCCAGAUCUUCCUCUCUUGUGUGACACAUCUGCUCUCAGUCCUUUACUGCCAACCUCCAGUCUUAGCAUUUCUGCUUGUAUUCAUUUUUCCUCUACAUUCAUCACUCCAAUCUCUACUAUAAGCACUCCUGUAUAUAUAUAUAUACUCAUAAUAAUUAUUAUUAUUAUUAACCAUUUAUUUGUUUUGCAUUUAUUCACAAUAGAAGCAAACAAUGAUUACAGGAUAUAUGUUUUUAAAGGUGAUAAUUGUAAAAUAUUGGAGCAUUGUUCUUAAUCAUUUUUGCCUAUUUGGUUGAUAAAGGGAAGAAAACAAUAUAUUUUCAACUGUAGCCUUGAUUAUUCUUUGGCAUCUUUUGUCAGGAUUUCUGUAAACAAAUUCCCUUUUUAUUUUUGAAUAUUAAACUUAUGUUUUUUGAAGGGAGUUUCUGUUGCAAUUUUGUUUGUUUGUUUUCACUUAGUUACCUCUAUGCAUUUUUUUUUUUUUUUAUCAACUUUUCUUUUUUUUCAUAGUGGAAUAAACUGGAGAGAGACUGUUCUGGGCACUAUGUUUAUCUGCGAAAAGUUUGACAUAUCAAUAAACACUGUAAAAUGACUAGA
This is a long non-coding RNA of Carassius gibelio (silver crucian carp), 1457 nucleotides long. RefSeq lists it as uncharacterized. Lineage: Eukaryota; Metazoa; Chordata; Actinopteri; Cypriniformes; Cyprinidae. The transcript has 4 exons. The record is from RefSeq and is a predicted model, not a curated record.